GAGGCCCUACGGGGCGCAGCAGGGGGGAAUAUUGCACAAUGGGGGGAAACCCUGAUGCAGCGACGCCGCGUGAGUGAAGAAGUAAUUCGUUAUGUAAAGCUCUAUCAGCAGGGAAGAAAAUGACGGUACCUGAGUAAGAAGCCCCGGCUAACUACGUGCCAGCAGCCGCGGUAAUACGUAGGGGCAAGCGUUAUCCGGAUUUACUGGGUGUAAAGGGCGUGUAGGCGGGACUGCAAGUCAGAUGUGAAAAUUAUGGGCUCAACCCAUAACCUGCAUUUGAAACUGUAGGUCUUGAGUGAUGGAGG
This 305-nucleotide ribosomal RNA is filed under the name uncultured bacterium. RNAcentral describes it as "bacterial SSU rRNA". It matches the Rfam family "Bacterial small subunit ribosomal RNA", at positions 333 to 655 of the family's 1533-position model. The record is from RNAcentral.